This 496-nucleotide long non-coding RNA is filed under the name Vigna radiata. RNAcentral describes it as "long non-coding RNA (VRAD_LNC010114)". Lineage: Eukaryota; Viridiplantae; Streptophyta; Magnoliopsida; Fabales; Fabaceae. The record is from RNAcentral.
CCCAUAUAAUCAAAUUCUUGUCUAAACUUGAUAGCUUUGGUCCAGGUGCUAGAUGCAUAACAGAGUAGUGAGCGAAUUCAUUGGAAGAGAAAGGAAUUUCCGGCAGCGGAAGUAGUGGAAACGGGCAGCGGAGAAGGUGUUAUGCGGUGGCUGUUUGAAAGAAGUGCUUUAAGUGAGGUGAUUACAACUCAGCCGGCCUUCCACUCAAGGAAGGAAGUUGCAGUGAUGGAAGAAGAAGCACGGGUGUGACUUCUGGUGCAGAGAAACUGGCUGGAAAAUUAGUUUCAGNAGAAUUUCUCAUUUAUCAUCCAAAAGUUAAUACAAGGGCAGCCAAGGUGAGUUAUAUAGACUCCUCAACCUUAGGCUUGUGAUGAAAAACGUGUUUAGCCACUAUGAAUCACGUUGCCUAACUCUAAUACAUGUGCUAAAUGUGCUAGCUUCUAGAAUGUAUAUGGAGUACACGUUUAUUUCAAUUUCCAAAAUAGGAAAGUUCCCG